This 1448-nucleotide ribosomal RNA is filed under the name uncultured bacterium. RNAcentral's name for it is "16S ribosomal RNA". It matches the Rfam family "Bacterial small subunit ribosomal RNA". The record is from RNAcentral.
GAUGAACGCUAGCGGCAGGCCUAACACAUGCAAGUCGAGGGGCAGCAUAUUAUUAGUUUACUAAUGAUGAUGGCGACCGGCGGACGGGUGCGUAACGCGUAUGCAACCUACCUAUAACAGGGGGAUAAUCGAGAGAAAUUUUGUCUAAUACCCCGUAAUAUUAUUAGAGGCAUCUUUAAUAGUUGAAAGAUUAAUUGGUUAUAGCUGGGCAUGCGUAACAUUAGAUAGAUGGUGAGGUAACGGCUCACCAUGUCCACGAUGUUUAGGGGAACUGAGAGGUUAAUCCCCCACACUGGUACUGAGACACGGACCAGACUCCUACGGGAGGCAGCAGUGAGGAAUAUUGGUCAAUGGGCGAGAGCCUGAACCAGCCAUGCCGCGUGCAGGACGACUGCUCUAUGAGUUGUAAACUGCUUUUAUAAUGGAAUAAAACGAGAUACGUGUAUCUUCUUGCAUGUACAUUAUGAAUAAGGAUCGGCUAACUCCGUGCCAGCAGCCGCGGUGAUACGGAGGAUUCGAGCGUUAUCCGGAUUUAUUGGGUUUAAAGGGUGCGUAGGUUGUAAGAUAAGUUAGUGGUCAAAUGUAGUGGCUUAACCAUUUAUUCGCCAUUAAUACUGUUUUACUAGAGUAUGGAUGCAGCAGGCGGAAUGUGUAGUGUAGCGGUGAAAUGCAUAGAUAUUACACAGAACACCGAUUGCGAAGGCAGCUUGCUAAUCCAUAACUGACACUGAUGCACGAAAGCGUGGGUAGCGAACGGGAUUAGAUACCCCGGUAGUCCACGCAGUAAACGAUGAUAACUCGUUGUCGGCGAUAUAUAGUCGGUGACCAAGCGAAAGCGAUAAGUUAUCCACCUGGGGAGUACGACCGCAAGGUUGAAACUCAAAGGAAUUGACGGGGGCCCGCACAAGCGGAGGAACAUGUGGUUUAAUUCGAUGAUACGCGAGGAACCUUACCCGGGCUUGAAAGUUAGUGACGAAUUCAGAGAUGGAUUUUCCCUUCGGGGCACGAAACUAGGUGCUGCAUGGUUGUCGUCAGCUCGUGCCGUGAGGUGUCGGGUUAAGUCCCAUAACGAGCGCAACCCCUGUUGAUAGUUACCAGCAUUUAAGGUGGGGACUCUAUCAAGACUGCCGGUGUAAGCCGAGAGGAAGGUGGGGAUGACGUCAAAUCAGCACGGCCCUUACGUCCGGGGCGACACACGUGUUACAAUGGCCGGUACAGAAGGCAGCUACACAGCGAUGUGAUGCGAAUCUCAAAAGCCGGUCUCAGUUCGGAUUGGAGGCUGGAACUCGCCUCCAUGAAGUUGGAUUCGCUAGUAAUCGCAUAUCAGCCAUGAUGCGGUGAAUACGUUCCCGGGCCUUGUACACACCGCCCGUCAAGCCAUGGAAGUUGGGGGUGCCUGAAGUCCGUUACCGUGAGGAACGGCCUAGGGCAAACUCAGUAACUAGGGC